AGAGUUUGAUCCUGGCUCAGGAUUAACGCUGGCGGCGUGCCUAACACAUGCAAGUCGAACGAGGUAGCAAUACCUAGUGGCAGACGGGUGAGUAACACGUGGUCAACCUACCCUCUAGUGGGGGAUAACUAGCCGAAAGGUUAGCUAAUACCGCAUAACACGUUGAGCGGCAUCGCUUGACGUUGAAAGGAGCAAUCCGC
This 200-nucleotide ribosomal RNA is filed under the name uncultured bacterium. RNAcentral describes it as "partial 16S ribosomal RNA". It matches the Rfam family "Bacterial small subunit ribosomal RNA", at positions 8 to 218 of the family's 1533-position model. The record is from RNAcentral.